CGUAGGGUGCGAGCGUUAAUCGGAAUUACUGGGCGUAAAGCGUGCGCAGGCGGUUUGUUAAGAUAGGCGUGAAAUCCCCGGGCUCAACCUGGGAACUGCGCUUAUGACUGGCAAGCUAGAGUACGGCAGAGGGGGGUGGAAUUCCACGUGUAGCAGUGAAAUGCGUAGAGAUGUGGAGGAACACCAAUGGCGAAGGCAGCCCCCUGGACCUGUACUGACGCUCAUGCACGAAAGCGUGGGGAGCAAACAGGAUUAGAUACCCUGGUAGUCCACGCCCUAAACGAUGUCAACUGGUUGUUGGGUCUUCACUGACUCAGUAACGAAGCUAACGCGUGAAGUUGACCGCCUGGGGAGUACGGCCGCAAGGUUG
Molecule: ribosomal RNA, 370 nt
Filed under: uncultured organism
Description: bacterial SSU rRNA
Rfam family: Bacterial small subunit ribosomal RNA
Source: RNAcentral